UGAGGCGGAAAGGUGAACACCAUAUUUACCCAGAAUCAGACAAUAACCAGCAUGAUGUCUAAAGGGACAAGCUCUGUUUGGAAAGUCACCCACACUCUAGUUGAGAAUGGCUUAUAGAGAGGCCAAGGAAGUCAUUUGUAGUACUCAGGAGGUUUGGCAUAACCGAGAUGAAAAACAGAACUUCCUUCAAUGUUUUGAUGCUCAGUUGGUGCGUGAGGAGAAGAGAUUGGAAGUUGAAGAGGAGCUCAGAGUUCAGGUGGAUGAACUGAUGAGGCAGGAACUGAAGAACCUUAAAUUGGUGGUGGACAGAGACGGGAAAGAAAAAGAAAAAAGUAAAGAAAAGUAGUAAAAAGGUGAAUGGCGUGCAUACUUCCUUUGAGAUAAGACCGUAAGCACAUUUUAAAUGACCUGCAUGAGUGACAG
Molecule: long non-coding RNA, 423 nt
Filed under: Sinocyclocheilus anshuiensis
Lineage: Eukaryota; Metazoa; Chordata; Actinopteri; Cypriniformes; Cyprinidae
Description: lncRNA (ENSSANG00000006365.1)
Source: RNAcentral